GUUUUAAUAGUUUAAAUAAAACAUUAGUCUUGUAAACUAAAAAUAAAAAUUAUUUUUUAAAACU
Molecule: transfer RNA, 64 nt
Filed under: Sabethes cyaneus
Lineage: Eukaryota; Metazoa; Arthropoda; Insecta; Diptera; Culicidae
Description: tRNA-Thr
Rfam family: tRNA
About the family: Transfer RNA (tRNA) molecules are approximately 80 nucleotides in length. Their secondary structure includes four short double-helical elements and three loops (D, anti-codon, and T loops).
Source: RNAcentral